GAUGAACGCUGGCGGCGUGCCUAAUACAUGCAAGUCGAGCGAACAGACGAGGAGCUUGCUCCUCUGACGUUAGCGGCGGACGGGUGAGUAACACGUGGAUAACCUACCUAUAAUACUGGGAUAACUUCGGGAAACCGGCGCUAAUACCGGAUAAUAUAUUGAACCGCAGGGUUCAAUAGUGAAAGACGGUUUUGCUGUCACUAAUAGAUGGAUCCGCGCCUCAUUAGCUAGUUGGGAGGGUAACGGCUUACCAAGGCAACGAUGCGUAGCCGACCUGAGAGGGUGAUAGGCCACACUGGAGCUGAGACACGGUCCAGACUACUACGGGAGGCAGCAGUCGGGAAUCGUACGCAAUGGGCGAAAGCCUGACGGAGCAAGCCCGCGUGAGUGAUGAAGGUCUUCGGAUCGUAAAACUCUGUUAUGAGGGAAGAACCAAUGUGUAAGUAAAUAUGGCCGUCUUGACGGUACCUAAUCAGAAAGCCCCGGCUAACUACGUG
This 497-nucleotide ribosomal RNA is filed under the name uncultured bacterium. RNAcentral's name for it is "partial 16S ribosomal RNA". It matches the Rfam family "Bacterial small subunit ribosomal RNA", at positions 28 to 507 of the family's 1533-position model. The record is from RNAcentral.